Long non-coding RNA from Numida meleagris (helmeted guineafowl), 1058 nucleotides. The record is from Ensembl. NCBI's taxonomy places the organism in Eukaryota, Metazoa, Chordata, Aves, Galliformes, Numididae.
CAGGGAUUUAGCAGCAAUGAAAAACUGCUGUUCUUUCAGUGAUAUUCAGGUUCCAAACAGUGCUGGAGAACCAAGGCAGGACAGUGUAUCCUCAUGGAGGUCUUCCAAAUGGCUCCGGCAUGUAGGCAUGCCAGCCACCCACGUGCACUGUGGACAGCCCAAUUUCCACUGCUGAUGCCCUGCUGUGUUGUUAGACUCUGAGCAGAUGUCAGGAGGAAAGGCCAGCACAGGACAAUGAGCUCUGAAUACUGAUUAGAGUAUUAGGAUGAUAACCCAGAUUCCAAAAAUAUCAUGCCAUUGUCUUUGUAAGAGGAAAACACUGACUUCGGAAUUGAGAGCACUUAUUCCUGAGAUGUGCAAAUCAUGGAACCAUUACAGUGGCCCCAGAGGACAUGGGAGUUUUGGGAGCUGAGGUGGAGCCUGUGCCUUCGCGUGAGCUCUGCUCAGCCAGUGUGGUGCAUGAUGCUGCCUGGUCACUACCUGCACCUUGCAGACGUCACCGUCACCACUGCCACUGUGCUCAGCCCUAGCACAGGGACUGCCUGUGCUACUGCAGCUGGCACAGUUUGGACUUGGGAGAGUUUUCUUUCCAGUGAUGACAAGCACCCCAUGUGCAAGAGCCCCCCGCAUGAAUCCUAAAGCUGGCUGAAAACCAAGAGAUCUUGUCCACUGAAACCUAAAAGGGAAGAGGAGGGGAACACAAAGAACAAGAAGACUAUUAUUUCUUUUUGUUUUAUGAUGCAGCUAUCUGGAAAUUAAGAUAUAUACACAAGACAGGGAGUGGAAAAUCACUGGGUAUGUCAUUGCUUCAUAAUCUUCUUAUUUGCUCCACAUAUUGGUUUAUGAUCCUCUUAAGGCAUGCUCAAAAACAGAUUCCAUGUCAACAAUUGAUAUGAAGCUUGAAAUGGACCAGAAAACAGGACGUAACAAAGUGACCCUCGUUGAAAGGCAGCAAGACAGUUCAAUUAGCCUUAACAUAAGUCUUUCUACUGCAAGGACAUCAGCAAUCCUAACUUCUUUUCAAACAGGAUCUUAGGAUAAUAUUUGCACAAUGCUUC